GCCACGACGGGAACUCCCUAUUAUUAUUUUUUUAAUGUCGAUAACUGAAACCUAUGGAAGUUCCCAGGCCAAAGAUAUUGACUCUCAGUUGCAGCUGCCACCUAUGCUGUAGCUAUGUCAAUGCCAGAUCCUUUAACCCACUUCGCCAGGCCAGGGAUCAAACCUGCGCCUCGGCAGUGACAUUAGCCACUGCAAUUGGAUUCUUAACCCAUGCACCACAGCAGGAACUCUUGUUUUCUAUUACAAAAUAUUUGAAACAUACAGAAAAUUAUGGAAAACAAUAUAAACAAAUUCUUAUGUACCUAAUAUUAACUUAUUUUCUUCAGAACGUUUAGUUUUUAAGAAAUGUAAUGUUACAGGUAUAGUAUAAGCUUUACUCUCUUACCUUUUCUUUCCUACUUGUACUCAAAAAAAUCAGUAUGUUGAAGGAACUAUAAAUCAUCCCUAUGCAUGUCUUUAUUAUCUUUACUAUAUGCAUGCCUCCAAAAAUGAUUUUGUCUUAAAAUUAAAAAUUACAAUACCGAACUGUUUUGAGAGUCUCUUACAACUUGCUUUUUAAAUCUUGUGAUUUUUUUUAACGUAACCAUAUUUUUAUAUGUGGAUUCACUGAUUUCAUUACUUCAUUGAUUUCAACUGCUGAUUAAUACAGCAUUAAAUCACUAAACCACAGUUUUUCUACCUCUUACUGAAAGACAUGUAGGUUCUUUGCAAUUUAUCUACUAUUUCUAACAGUAACUCAUGAACUUCCUUAUAAAGGGGAUUUCCUUGUGUAUUUGUGGGAGAGUCUGAUUUCUAGGGCAGCCCUUCUCAAACUUUGACCUCAGGACUCCUUUAUAUGCUUAAUAUGUAUUGAGGACCCUAAGAACUUUUUUUUUCUUUAUGGCCGCACCUGCAGCAUAUGGAAGUUCCCAGGCCAGGGACUGAAUCCAAGCCACAGCUGCAACCUGUGCCACAGCUGCAGCAAUACUUGAUCCUUUCACCCACUGCACUGGGCUGGGGAUCAAACCCGCGCCUCCACAGCAACCUGAGCCACUGCAGUCAGAUUCUCAACCCACUGCACCACGGCAGGAACUCCAGGAGCUUUUGUUUAAGGGGGUAAUUUCACAGCUACCAGUUUAGAAAUUAAAACUGAGAAUUAAAAAACAUGUGUCCUCAUUAAUUACUUUUAAAAAUAAACAUAUAAGUAACAUUUUUAUGCAGAUGUUUUUCAAAAUAAAUAUAGUAAGAUGAAUAGCAUUGGUUUGAGUGGGUUUUUCUGGCCACACCCAUGGCACACAGAAUUUUCCAAGCCAGGGAUCAAACACUCGCCACAGCAGCAACCGGAGCCAGGACAAUGAAAACACUGGAUCCUGAAUCCACUGAGCCAACAGAGAACUCCAGCUUUCACUUCUCACAAAUCUAACAUCUAUUGUAUUAUAUGGUUUUAGUUUUGGUUGAAGUCUAUAAAGAAAAUUGCUUUUUAGGGCCACACCUGCAGCAUAUGGAGGUUCCCGGGCUAGGGGUCCAGUUGGAGCUACAGCUGCUAACCCUACGCCACAGCCACAGCAAUACAGGAUCCAGCCUGGGUCUGUGACCUACACCACAGCUCACGGUAACUCCAGAUCCUUAACCCACUGAGUGAGGCCAGAGAUCGAACCCACAACCUCAUGGUUCCUAGUCGGAUUUGUUUCCGCUGCACCACGAUGGGAACUCCCGUCCCUCUUAUACUUUGAAUAGAUAUCUUACUCGUGAUUUUUGUAACAUCACACAUUGAUCAUUUGGAAAAUACUCGUUCACCAAGUCCUGCAUGCAGAUCUUCCAGAUGUUGGCAUACUUCAUCAUACACGAGCAAAAAUUUGUUUUAUUAACAUCGCCUCUGAUCUUUUCAAAAAGAUCUUUAGGUGUGAGAAGCUGCCAUGCUUACGGUGGCAGAAAUAAGUUCCCUAAAAUUUGAAGGUUCAAAUUUUAUCCUUGGCAACAAAUAUUAUCAGUUGUUUUCCUUAUUUCACUUCAUUUUUGAGAAAAUAUCUGCCAAACAGCCAAACCUGAAUAACCAUGGUUUAUAAGUUGUUCUCUCAAGGAAAAAUACUGUUCCAUGAAAAAACUGGCUAGCUCAUCUUUCAAUGCAAGAAAGUCGCACAUAGGCUUUUUCCUCCAGACAGUAGUACUAGGGUACUCAGCAGAUGGCUUUAUGUGCAAUUCCCAUGUCAUUACACAGAGUUUUAAAAAGACAAGGACUCUGGAGUCAAAAUUUUUAAAAAUUAAAAAUUUUACUGUUCCAGGUAGAACAUUCUUUAGUAAUAUUGUUUUCCCCCUACACAACGCAUGGCAAUGCAGAAUGCAGUGAUGGCUGGUACCAUCUGGGGCACUGGUUCAUGCUAAGGUACCAGCGAUCUUCUCCACUGUGGCUUUUUACACCGUCUGCACAAAUGUUAACACAGCAAAAGAGACAAAUAAGAUCUUAAUGUUAUUCCUAAAAUAGUUUUGACUUUGCAGGUGCUGUGGAAGCAGCUCAAAGAUCCCUGGAGGUAUGGGAUUACACUUUGAGAACUGCUGCUCUCGGGUAUCUAAACAGAAGCCGAACUGCUAGGUGGUUAAAUGUGCACAUCCCACUUUUACUUGUCAUUCCCAGAUCACUCUUCAAGGUGGGUUUAUUAACUUUACUCCCACCAGCAAUACGGGCUAUCCCAUACCCUCAAAUCCUGCUCAUUGCUUGAUUUAAUCCAAUUUAUAUUUUGCCAAUCCAAUGGGUAUGAAGUAGUGUCUCAUUUUUACAUUAACCACAUCAUAGCAUUUCAAAGAUAUUUAGAAUGUUCUUUCAAAGCAGUUUUUUAAUCACAUAUAGUUAGAUGGUAUUUACUGCACUAAUAAUUGAGGUAAUAGACAAAGUUAUAAAUAUAAAAUAUAAAAUCUCUUUCAAAAUACGUGUAAGAGGGUUUUCCCCUGGCUUUCAUGUGGGCAAAAUAUUUUCCACUUUGCUUCAAUUUCCUUUUGCAAUUUUCCAAAUGAGAGAGCUUCUGGGGAAUGCUGGUCUAGAGUUUUUAAUCAUUUAUUUCCUGUAAACAUUGCCAGGCCACAUGUGAUUUGGUUUCAGAAUUGCGGUUGAUUACACUGCAGAUUUGAGCCUACAGAUCUCAGGGAUGUGGUGCUCCUACGUUAGUUCCUUUCACCCUAUGUGUCUAAGUUGUUGAAAAGCUCCCAUGGAUCUGUAGACGGUGAUAACUAGCUGUGCUGACUUAGUGAGAAGUAGUAGAUCAAUCUCCAACAUGACACCUCUCAGGGAACUUUCCAGGAUAAGUUUGACAGUGUGUGAUUUUUGCCUUACAUGUUGACUUCACAGGCAACGCCCAUGUAAGAAGCAAGGCCAUUCUAAAUAAGCAGUCCUAUGUGGGAGUCUGAAUUAACAGUCAUCAAAUUUCUCAUUUAUUUCAGCAACAUUUAUCGCUUUGGGUUCUCAGCAUCUGUUCAUCUAGACUAGAGGCUGGUAAACGUCUCUGUAAAAACCCAGAUGGUAAAUAUUUCAGGCUGUGUGAGCCACAGCGUAUCUGUUGCAACUGCCCCACUCUGUGGAGUAGGGCAAAAGCAGCCAUAGAGGACAGGUAACCCUAUGGUGUGGUCGUGUUUCAAUAAAACUUUAUUUACAAAAACAGGAUAAGGCUAUAGUUGGCUGACUCCUGGUCUAGAUUGCCUCUUCAUCUGUUUCUCUGGGCAAAGCUUUUGCUCGUCCUUUAAUGUCUAUGCUUCCAGUAUGAUGGUUUGUAGUUUACAAUUCAUAUAAGUUCACAUGUGUGUUGUUGAAUCUUUAAUGAAAAAAAAAGUAAAUACAAGAAGUUGGAAAUGAAACUAAUGUGGAUAAUCAAUAAGAUUAUUAUUACUAGGUUAUUAAAUCACAAAUACUCUGAGAGAGCAUUAAAAAAAACACAUGCUGGAGUUUCCUUCGUGGCUCAGUGGUUAACAAAUCUGACUAGGAACCAUGAGGUUGCAGGUUGAACUCGCUCAGUGGGUUAAGGAUCCAUCGUUGCUGUGAGCUAUGGUGUAGGUCGCAGAUGCAACUUGGAUCUGGUGUUGCUGUGGCUCUAGCGUAGGCUGGCGGCUACAGCUCUGAUUAGACCCCUAGUCUGAGAACCUCCACAUGCCACAGGUGCAGCCCUAAAACAAAACAAAACAAACAAACAAAAAAACCACACAUGCCAAUUAGAUCACCAUGACAAUGAUAUUUGCAUGGCAGCUGUGCUUUUGAGGCCCUCCACUGCUCUCUAGAUAAAGUGAACUCAAAUUGAGCCUGAAAGUCUCCCUGGAGAAGGAGCUGAUUCCAGGUCUGGGACAAGGGAAAUGCAAGAGGAGCCUGAGGGAGUUUCUGUUCUGGCUCAGCGGGUUAAGAACCCGAUAGAGUGUGUAAGGAUAUGGCAUUGCCGAAAGUUGCAGCAUAGGAUACAGAUGCAGCUUGGAUACUGCAUUGCUGUGGCUGUGGCAUGGGCUGGCAGCUAUAGCUCCAAUUUGACCCCUAGCCAGGAAACUUCUAUAAGCCACAGAUGAAGCUGAGAAAGAAAAGAAAGAAAGAAAGAAAGAAAGAGAGAAAAAGAAAGAAAGAAAGAGAGAGGAAGGAAGGAAGGAAGGAAAGAAGGAAGGAAGGAAGGAAGAAAGAAAAAGAGGUACCUGAAACAUUUGGUUAUGGUUAGCUCAAAGAAUAACAGAGACACAGAAAUGGACUUGAAGGGAUCCUUGGGGCCAAAUCUGGGACAAUUUAAGGAUUUAAAUAAAUAAUAAUGAUAAUGAAUUAUAACUCAUUGAACAAAUUAUAACUCAUUGAAUAACAUAAGAAUCCUCAAAUCCACACUGAUUUCAAUAAACAGAUAAAUGCAUAAAUGACAGAGAAGAGAAAAUUCUUCCUACUAAUACAAUGCCUAGUAAUAAAUAUAGAAGGGAGGAUGAGGUAGAAAAUCACCAACAGAUGCUAAAACUAGUGGGUGAAAGUUUGAUCAGGAGCACAGUAUUUUCAUGGCCUCAAAGUAUCUUCCCACAAAUUACUUAUUUAUUCCAGAGGAAAUUGUAGUAACUCUACGAUGGAGAAACUUGGCAGAAAUCACCUUACCAAAUGAUGAAAGAUAAUAUCACUAAUACUGGGGGCAAAUGAACAGCAGGUGACUCCCGCUGUGACACACUGAAAAGAACACAACAUCACUUCUGUGAAAUUCCUGUCCGAAAGCAUUAGUUGAAUCUAAUCAUGGAAAAGCAUCAGACAAACCCAAAUCCAGGAACAUAUUACAAAAUAACUAGGCUGCUUUCUUAAAAAACACUGUGAAAGUCAACCAGAGAAGCAAGGAAAAGAGAGGCCAUCAGGAAGUAUGGGUGGGAACUUGUGGCCAUGGGCUAAGGGUGCUGUGCACAGGCAGAAUUUUUCUUCUCUAGGGAAAUUUCAGCUCUGUUUUUAUGACUUUUCAACUGACCGAAUCAGGCCCAUCCAAAUUUUCAACGCUAAUCUCUCUUAAAUUCAACUGAUUACAGCAUUGAAUCACAUCCACAAAAUAUUGUCAUGGCAAUGCCUAGAUUAAUGUUUGAUUGAAUAACUGGGAACUCUAGCCUAGCCAAGUUGAUACAUCAGAAAAAAAAUAUCAUUGGAAUUCUCUUGGGGCACAGCGGGUUAAGGAUCCGGUAUUGUCACUGCAAUGGCCUUGGUUGCUGCUGUGGCGUGGGUUCAGUUCUUGGCCUAGGAACUUCCAUGUGCUGCAGGCAAGGCCAAAAAAAAAAACGAGAGACAGAAAGAAAAGAAAAAAAAAUCGCAAAUACUAAACCCCAAGGCUGCCCAUGGAGCUGGAAGUUAUUUGUUUCAAACCAGGUGGCCAUGGGCCUCUCUCUGUGCACAGAAGUAGCAAAGAUUAUCCCAAGCUUGGUAACUUAAGCUCAGACGGGCUACACAGACAACUUCGCUUAUAGAUAAAUGCAUAGUGAGUUGGCUCUCAAGAAACCUUGGAGGCCAUAGGGUCCUUGAAGAGGGCAGGUGCCCCACCCACUAGGACAAGCUUCUGGGUAUCCCUGAGGCGCUGCUUUGAAUUUACCAGUGCUUUCCAAACUGUGGGUUACAACCCACAUGUGGACAACAAAAAUCAAUUCAGGAGGCGAUUGAGUCACACUUUUUUUUUUUUUUUUCUUUUUUUUCAUUUUGGCUGUGCCAGUGGCAUGUAUAAGUUCCCAGGCCAGGGAUCAAAGCCAAGCCACAGCAGCAACCCAGGCCACUUCAGUGACAACGUCAGAUCCUUAACCUGCUGCACCACAAGAGAACUCCAUACCUUUUUUUUUCUUUUAAUAAAAGAGAAUGAAAUAGAAAAUGGCAGAGUGCAUCACACACAAUAAAGAUGUGUUUCAGGAGUGUGUGUGUGUGUGUGUGUGUGUGUCUUUCCUCAUAACUCUCGGCAGAUUUCCUUUAACUCAGAGGUGUUAACACCCUAUGUCAAAAAGUGAGGCACGGGAGGGGAGGUGGAGGGUAGGAAGGAAUCUGAAAUUUGAGAGGAAAGCAUUGAAGAAGGGAAGGUGCAGAGGGCUGGAGGGGGCGUGGUUCUGCUGGAGUCUUGUCUUGUCUCCUGUACUCUAGGUACCCACUCUGACUUCAAGGGCUGAUGGGAGGGGAAAGGAGGGAAGAUGAAGCAGGCACAGUGCUUGCUUUUAUCUUGUUGGUUUGCAGAUCUCCAAGCAAAGUCAGAAGAAAGUAGCCUCUAUUUGCCUCAUGCGCAGACAAACAAACUGAGGCACAGGAAAGGCAGGUCACGUGGGAACUCUAG
This 6755-nucleotide long non-coding RNA is filed under the name Sus scrofa (pig). RNAcentral describes it as "lncRNA (ENSSSCG00005001551.1)". The record is from RNAcentral. Lineage: Eukaryota; Metazoa; Chordata; Mammalia; Artiodactyla; Suidae.